AUUCUUUCUCAUCUCCAUUAACAUUCCACAUCAGGUUUGCAAAACCCUAGACACAACCUUCACUUGCAUUCCUGAUUCAAGCCAUUCGAAUUAUUCAGCAUCAGAUUUGGCGGCCACGAUGAUUGGAACUGAUGGUGGUUGGAGAAACGACGAUGUGAGUAGUGGUCAGGGAGACGAAAGGGAUUCAUCAUAGGUAUGUUACAAAACCUUAUGAUUCAGACUAUAAUUAAUCUGGCUCCAUCAUUCUUCGUCUUCUCAACCGUCUAAUAUGAAGGUCAGUUUCCAUCGAUUUUAGGUUUUUUAGAUUUGAGGUUUUCUUUGCAUUUUGAUUUAUUAAGGUUUUUUAUACAUCAGUUAAAUCGUUGAUACUCUAUCCUAUUAAGGAAUUGAUUUUAGGGUUUUUACGCUAAAAUCAUCAUCGGCGACCGUCGCCGUGCUAAUAUCUUCCGAUUAACAUCUGACCAAAGCGUGUAUGUAUUUGUCGGUUUGCUGGUGUUAUUCGUCAUUAGUUGCUGCUCAAUUGAUGCUCUUAAUAUUGUUAUGGUUUUUGAAAGCAUCUGAUAGAUUGGAUUGAAGAUAUACACUGAAUAUUUUGUGAUUAAUUUUGUAUAGGCAUUUGAUAGGUUUCUUCAUAUUUUUUGUGAUUGGCAGUUUGGAGCUUGAUGAACAAGAUAAGCCAAAAUCAGCGGUCUCGAGCUGUUUCUCAGGUUCAUCAUCGUGAUUAAUUUUUAUCCUUUUAUCACAAUCAUUUAGAUAUUAAUUUUACUUAACCCAUAUCGUUUAACAAUUGGGAGUCGUUUCAGUUCAAGAGCCCUAAUCUCUUGGAUCACUAUCGGAAGCCUAAGAGCAACCGGGUUGUUGUACUCUUGAUCUGUAAUGUUCUAACCCUAAAAUUCUUUCAUGAUUCAUAUUCUUAUGUUUUAUCUAUUUUGUUUUUCAUCAUGAAUUGAAAGAGGGCGGAAACAAGAUCAAGAACAUGUAUGUGAAGUGAUCAAGAUUUUGUUGGGUUAUUGGAAUAUAUGGAGAUUGAUUGGCAGCUCUGUUUCUUAAGUUUUUAGGUUAGCUCUUCGGUCACUUUGGUAUAAUCUUGCUUCUUUUUUUGUUUUAUUUAUUAACAAUUUGUGAUUUAGGAUUUUAGCCAUAAUCAUCAUGUUGUUUCUUAUUUCAUACAGAAUAUUACUAUUUGGAAUUAUCGUAGUUAUGUAAUUAAUAUCAAUAUUUCGCCAUGCCACACUUGAUCCACUGAGCUUGAUGAUGAAUCUGAUGCAGAUUUCGGACUUCUGUUCUCUAACAACGGAUUUUAGAACUGACUUACAUGCCUCUUUAUUUUAAUUUGUGUAUUAUUUAAUAGGAGCAAUUCAUUCAUUACAUUUACCACAAUUGUGCUAAUGAGACAUCUGAAGAUCAUAAUUGUGGUGAACGAAAUAGGGAAAGAGAAAGAUCUGGUUACAUGCAAUGGGAUUUCGAUGACCAUACAAGUAAGAGGUAGGUGGUAUUGUUAAUAGUUAUGACACGGAUAUGAUUUAAAACAUAUUUAUUAUUUUUGGAUUUUUACCAACAAAAAAAGUUUGUUUGACUUUUGAGAGUCAAAGUA
This is a long non-coding RNA of Helianthus annuus (common sunflower), 1594 nucleotides long. RefSeq lists it as uncharacterized. The transcript has 3 exons. Lineage: Eukaryota; Viridiplantae; Streptophyta; Magnoliopsida; Asterales; Asteraceae. The record is from RefSeq and is a predicted model, not a curated record.